Molecule: small nuclear RNA, 102 nt
Organism: Bison bison bison
Lineage: Eukaryota; Metazoa; Chordata; Mammalia; Artiodactyla; Bovidae
Source: Ensembl
AUGCUCAUUUGACAGCACAUAUAAACUGAAACAAUACAGAGAAGAUUAGCAAGGCUACCUGCCCAAGAUGACAUACAAAUUCAUGAAACAUUCCACAUUUUU